AAUGAACGCUGGCGGCAUGCCUUACACAUGCAAGUCGAACGGCAGCAUGACCUAGCUUGCUAGGUUGAUGGCGGGUGGCGAACGGGUGAGUAAUGCAUCGGAACGUGCCUUUUAGUGGGGGAUAACGUAGCGAAAGUUACGCUAAUACCGCAUAUUCUCUGAGGAGGAAAGCAGGGGACCUUCGGGCCUUGCGCUAGAAGAGCGGCCGAUGUCGGAUUAGCUAGUUGGUGAGGUAAAGGCUCACCAAGGCAACGAUCCGUAGCGGGUCUGAGAGGAUGAUCCGCCACACUGGGACUGAGACAAGGCCCAGACUCCUACGGGAGGCAGCAGUGGGGAAUUUUGGACAAUGGGCGCAAGCCUGAUCCAGCCAUGCCGCGUGAGUGAAGAAGGCCUUCGGGUUGUAAAGCUCUUUCGGCUGGGAAGAAAUCGCACCCUCUAAUACAGGGUGUGGAUGACGGUACCAGCAUAAGAAGCACCGGCUAACUACGUG
This 490-nucleotide ribosomal RNA is filed under the name uncultured bacterium. RNAcentral's name for it is "partial 16S ribosomal RNA". It matches the Rfam family "Bacterial small subunit ribosomal RNA", at positions 29 to 507 of the family's 1533-position model. The record is from RNAcentral.